Alosa sapidissima (American shad) is the source of this 2690-nucleotide long non-coding RNA. RefSeq lists it as uncharacterized. NCBI's taxonomy places the organism in Eukaryota, Metazoa, Chordata, Actinopteri, Clupeiformes, Clupeidae. The transcript is spliced from 6 exons. The record is from RefSeq and is a predicted model, not a curated record.
AGUCUACUACCAGGGAAAUAGUAGUAGACUAUUUACACAGUCCAAAACAUUCCCAGUCUAUACGCCACAGCAGGGUCACUUCAAUAAACCACUAAGUCCAACCGUUACGCCCCCACGCCAGCAGGGGAGACACUUCCUCUAGUGAGCAGUGGUUGCACUGUGGUCGCGCUUCCACCAGAACAGCUGAUAGGAUAAACAACAGUCAGUGUGCGGCGGCAAAUUCAGAGAGGAGCAUCUCCAAGCCUCGCCUUCCCACAGGCUGCAGCGAGCUGUACUUGGAUUCAGCAGAACAGAAAGGCUAGCCUACAGUUUCAUUAGGCUACUACUUCACGUUAUUUGGAUGUGAAUCAUAAACAACGCGCCCACGAUCGUCUGCGCUCAUUCCUUCUAGAAGAGGGGACCUUUAAACGAGCACUUCCCUUUUUGCUUGGAAGAAUGGAGAGCAUUGGAUCUAGUGCCAGAUGAGUGGUUACUUGUCUCGCCAGGAGAAUGGACAUCUGCUUUUGGAAAAUCAGAGCCAGUCGUAGCCUACCAGGUUUCACUCGGAGACACAUAGGCGCUACCGGAGCAAUGACUAACUUUGCCUCUUAAUGGGGUCGGGACCUCCUCUUUGCUCGGAGCUGUCUGCAAGUCAUUCAAGCAAUUAGGUAAACUCUAGGUUGCUGUCCAUAGAGGACCGGUUGGCUGCUCUGGAGUCGAAAAACUGUGCGGGAGAGACAAACUUUAAGAAGAGACUGGUGCACAAUCCCAAGCUUGCAGAAGCAGUACGCCGUCUUCACAACUCGGAGACAAAUUGCAGGCGCUACGAACCGGAGCAAGGACUAAUCUCGCCUCAUAAUGAGGCGGUGACCUCUUAUUUGCUCGGAGCAAUAUCUGGAAGUCCAGAUUUACACAAUGUUGAUAAAGACGACAUUGUGUCCGCCUGUAAGACAUAUUACGAGACGGUAGGCAGGAGCUUUAGAUAUACCCAGCCAGAAAACUCAUUGCGGGCGGAAGCUGCGAAGAGUUCAGCUCGGGAGUCGAGCGAGAAGAAAGAGGCUGCUGGAAUCGAGACAGAGUGUGCUAGCAAAUGACGAGGUGGAACUCUGGAAGUCCGCCACCGUAGACCUCAUGUCUGACGAAGAUGGCGUUGUUGGCGGGGUCUCUGGAUGGAUUGUACGGUCGCCGUCAUUUCGUAGGCCGGAGCUCUCUGAACUCUGUGCGAAGCUGCAGUCCCGGUUGGAGGCGACGCCGAAGUACAGAGCCACGCACAAUAGGCGUCUGCAUAACGGACCGGCCUCGGAAAGAACGCCGCCAGUUACCUACAACCCCGAGGAGGCAAACGGACAGUUCACGGAGUUGUAGUUUUUGGAUCAUCCUCUACCCAUGUGUGGGCAGAUCCUCGCUUUGUAUAUAGUUGUGUUUGUUUUAAUAAAGCUCGCUCUUUGCAUAAACAUAAUUCCUGGCAAAUGUUCAUUUCCUCUAUAAAUUCAUUCAUGUCCUUGAUGGUAGCCUAAUAAUAGUGUAGUAGCCUACAUAGGAUAACAUGAAUAUACAGCAUAAUAUGAAUAUAUAUAUAUAUAUUAUUACUAUUAUUGGGGAUCUGCCAACCAAUCACAAGUGAUUUUACUUGUUCGAAAGUUGUGGUUUCAUCCAAUACUGAGUAAGGAAAUUCAAGCCUGGCCUGGCCAGGUGUGGUUUUGCAGCCAAUCACGAGUGAUUUUUCUUGUUUGAAAGUAGUGGUUUAUCCAAUACUGAGUAAGGAUAUUCAAGCCAGGCAUGGCCAGCCGCAGUUUCGCUGCAUUCAUAUGCUAAUUAGGCCUAUUAGCACUCUGAAAGCUCUCCACAUACGUCAUUGUCUGUUUCCGACAAUUUAUGGCACAGACAAACGGCGAAAAGCGCGGGUUGCAAAUUGUCGUCAACUACCAAAAAUUAGGGAGAUCUCCGGUCGUUUACGGGGACGAAAAUCACACUUUUCAUGCAGUGAGAGCUGGCCCAGCUGGCCGACAGCCCAGACAUGAGAGAAGCCUCUCCACGUGUAGAACGAAGGACUUCGAGCUUUGUGCGUCUCAACAGUCUUUGGCUCGUGCCACAUGAUCCGGUGCGAGGGCUCUCCUCUCCAGCACGAGAUCAGAGCCAAGAGCUCAGAGCAGGCUGAGGCAGACCGGAGCGCUGACGUGCUCACACCACUGCCAGCAUCGCCCUCCGAACAAUCCACUACUGCAGUGUACAUACAUACUGUAUGCUAGUCACCAUAUUUGUUGCAGCUGGAAUAUAGUUAUUUCUUAAUCCCCCACGUGUGUAGUCUGGAAAACAGUAUUAAGUACUUCAGGAAAAAGCCAGUUUGAGAAUUUAUCGAAUGCUGUGAACAAGUAAUCCAAGUUGUGGCUGCAGUCUAUUGGUAGACCAAAGGAAAGGACACAGCUUCCAAAACAAUCACGUUUGAUAAUUCACUAGUAGCAUAGUUUAGCACAGUGCUACAGACGCGCGGGAACCUAUUUUUGACCAGGGGUGCUGAAUAACAAAAAUAAUGGAUGUCCGACACCCCCCCCCCCCCCCCCGGACAUGUUUAGGAUUUUCACUGCUGAAUACGUCAUUUUAGUGCGGUGUGCGGGUGAUAGCGAGAAGUUUUAGAAAAGUCCUGGGCAGCCACAAAUUCCAAUGUUCCGCGACAGCACUCCGAGUCCACUGCGCCCACCCUAAGCCCACAG